CACUUCAAGUGUCAGUUUGGAUAGCUAGCUAAUAUUUAAGAUUUCCCCCAAUUCUAAUCAAUAGUUGACAACUUCCUUUGCUUUUCAGGUCUACUUGCAAGAAGCAGGAGACUGAAUUUUUGCUGCUUUAGAGCUUUUUCAUUUGUUCUGUGACUGCAGGGUAGAAUUGAGAGUUGAACACUGGGGUCACCGCAGACCAAAUACAUAUUUAAGUGACAACUGAAACUAUGUAGUAUAGAAAAUUAAUUUCUAGUUACAAAAUCAGUAUAUGCCAGGCCCUAUGCUAGACCAUUUUAAUUGGUUACCUCAUUUUAAUAAACGAAGGAAUAAUUUUGGAGAUGAGGUCAGAGGGCUGGUAAAGGAAAAUCCUGGAUUGAAACAGAAGCCUAUCAAAAUUCACAUAUCCUGCUGGUUCUAGCAUUGAGAGCUGGGCAGUGAGUUGCUGGCUUUAUUUUUUAUUUUUUGAGACAACAGUCUCAUUCUAUUGCCCAGGCUGGAGUGCAGUGAUGCAACAUUGGCUCACUGCAACCCCCGUCUCUACGGUUCAAGUGAUUCUCCUGCCUCAGCCUUCCUAGUAGCUGGGAUUACAGGCUAGUGCCACCACUCCUGGCUAAUUUUUGUAAUUUAUAGUAGAGCUGGGAUUUCACCAUGUUGGCCAUGCUGGUCUUGAACUCCUGACCUCAAGUGAUCUGCCCGCCUCCACCUUCCAAAGUGCUGGGAUUACAGGUGUGAGCCACCACGCCCAGCCAAGAUACUGGUAAUAUAGGAUCCCCAGAUUCAUGUCAUUUAAAAAAUCACUUAGGUGGCAAUGAAGAUCAUAAACAGAAAGUGAUUUAAGGUGAGAUGCAAUAGGCGGGAAUUGGUGGAUCUCCAUUCUGACCGAUUAACAGCCAGUGUGUGGGCUUUUGAGCAUCAAUUUAAAGCAAAAAGUGGUAUCCCUGCUUAGCAAUGAUAUUGGCCAUGCCGUUACAGAUCUCUCCCAACUCGGUCCACUAUGUGCAAAAUACCGAUAAGACUUCUUGGCUCAAUACGGUAGAAAGCUUGCCGAAGUGUCCAGGGUUGGUUAAGAAGGUGCUUAUCGGCCGGGCAUGGUGGCUCACACUUGCAAUCCUAGCAGUUUGGGAGGCUGAGGUGAGCGGAUUACCUGAGUUCAGGAGUUUAAGACCAGCCUGGGCAACACGGCGAAACCCCCAUCUCAACUAAAAUACAAAAAAUUAGCCAGGCGUGGUGGCGUGCACCUAUAGUCCCAGCUACUCGGGAGGCUGAGGCAAGAAAAUUGCUUGAAUCCUGGAGGCAGAGGUUCAGUGAGCUGAGAUUGCACCAAUGUACUCCAGUCUGAGCGACAGAGUGAGAUUCUGUCUCAAAAAAAGAAAAAAAAAAAUGCUUAUCAUGGGCCGGGUGCGGUGGCUCACGCCUCUAAUCCCAGCACUUUGGGAGGCCUAGGUGGGCAGAUCACGAGGUCAGGAGUUCAAGACCAGCCAGGCCAACAUAGUGAAACCGUGUCUCUACUAAAAAUACAAGCAAAUUAGCCAGAUACGGUGGUGCGAGCCUGUAGUCCCAGCUACUCGGGAGGCUGAGGCAGGAGAAUCGCUUGAACCUGGGAAGUGGAGGUUACAGCCAGCUGAGAUUGCGCCACUACACUCCAGCUUGGGCAACAUAGUGAGACUUUGUCUCAAAAAAAAAAAAAAAAAAAAAAA
Long non-coding RNA from Macaca fascicularis (crab-eating macaque), 1697 nucleotides. The record is from Ensembl. NCBI's taxonomy places the organism in Eukaryota, Metazoa, Chordata, Mammalia, Primates, Cercopithecidae.